ACGACCUUACUUGAACAGGAUCUGUUCUAUAGGCUCGUACAUCUGUAUCCUUAAGUGCUAAGGAGACAGGCAACCAAGUCUGGUGGAUGAGAUAGGACCGUUAGAUCAGAGCGUGAUUAAUGGCUGAGACCUCUUGUGGGUCAAAGCUGUAGAGGAUCGUUCUCAGCUGUUUAAAAACCGGCUGGGGUGGUCUUACGGUUGUCUGACAGAUU
Magnolia sinica is the source of this 212-nucleotide small nucleolar RNA. RefSeq annotates it as small nucleolar RNA U3. The transcript has a single exon. Lineage: Eukaryota; Viridiplantae; Streptophyta; Magnoliopsida; Magnoliales; Magnoliaceae. The record is from RefSeq and is a predicted model, not a curated record.